Molecule: ribosomal RNA, 253 nt
Filed under: uncultured bacterium
Lineage: Bacteria
Description: partial 16S ribosomal RNA
Rfam family: Bacterial small subunit ribosomal RNA
Source: RNAcentral
UACGUAGAUGGCAAGCGUUGUCCGGAUUUAUUGGGUUUAAAGGGUGCGUAGGCGGCCCUGUAAGUCAGUGGUGAAAUACUCCAGCUUAACUGGAGGGGUGCCAUUGAUACUGCAAAGCUUGAGUGGAGUCGAAGUAGGCGGAAUUGACGAUGUAGCGGUGAAAUGCUUAGAUAUCGUCAAGAACACCGAUAGUGAAGACAGCUUACUAGGCUUCUACUGACGCUGAAGCACGAAAGUAUGGGGAUCAAACAGG